AGCGAACGCUGGCGGCAGGCCUAACACAUGCAAGUCGAACGAACCUUUCGGGGUUAGUGGCGGACGGGUGAGUAACACGUGGGAACGUGCCUUUAGGUUCGGAAUAACUCAGGGAAACUUGUGCUAAUACCGAAUGUGCCCUUCGGGGGAAAGAUUUAUCGCCUUUAGAGCGGCCCGCGUCUGAUUAGCUAGUUGGUUGAGGUAAUGGCUCACCAAGGCGACGAUCAGUAGCUGGUCUGAGAGGAUGAUCAGCCACAUUGGGACUGAGACACGGCCCAAACUCCUACGGGAGGCAGCAGUGGGGAAUCUUGCGCAAUGGGCGAAAGCCUGACGCAGCCAUGCCGCGUGAAUGAUGAAGGUCUUAGGAUUGUAAAAUUCUUUCACCGGUGACGAUAAUGACGGUACCCGGAGAAGAAGCCCCGGCUAACUUCGUG
Molecule: ribosomal RNA, 434 nt
Filed under: uncultured bacterium
Lineage: Bacteria
Description: partial 16S ribosomal RNA
Rfam family: Bacterial small subunit ribosomal RNA
Source: RNAcentral